UAGGGAAUCUUCCGCAAUGGACGAAAGUCUGACGGAGCAACGCCGCGUGAGUGAAGAAGGAUUUCGGUUCGUAAAACUCUGUUGUUAGGGAAGAAAAAAUGUAUAGUAACUAUAUACAAAAGAGACGGUACCUAACCAGAAAGCCACGGCUAACUACGUGCCAGCAGCCGCGGUAAUACGUAGGUGGCAAGCGUUGUCCGGAAUUAUUGGGCGUAAAGCGCGCGCAGGUGGUUUAGAAAGUCUGAUGUGAAAGCCCACGGCUCAACCGUGGAGGGUCAUUGGAAACUAAUAAACUUGAGUGCAGGAGAGAAAAGUGGAAUUCCUAGUGUAGCGGUGAAAUGCGUAGAGAUUAUGAGGAACACCGGUGGCGAAAGCGGCUUUUUGGCCUGCAACUGACACUGAGGCGCGAAAGCGUGGGGAGCAAACAGG
Molecule: ribosomal RNA, 429 nt
Filed under: Verrucomicrobiota bacterium
Lineage: Bacteria; Pseudomonadati; Verrucomicrobiota
Description: Verrucomicrobia bacterium partial 16S ribosomal RNA
Rfam family: Bacterial small subunit ribosomal RNA
Source: RNAcentral